GAUGAACGCUGGCGGCGUGCCUAAUACAUGCAGGUCGAGCGAACGGACGAGAAGCUUGCUUCUCUGAUGUUAGCGGCGGACGGGUGAGUAACACGUGGAUAACCUACCUAUAAGACUGGGAUAACUUCGGGAAACCGGAGCUAAUACCGGAUAAUAUUUUGAACCGCAUGGUUCAAAAGUGAAAGACGGUCUUGCUGUCACUUAUAGAUGGAUCCGCGCUGCAUUAGCUAGUUGGUAAGGUAACGGCUUACCAAGGCAACGAUGCAUAGCCGACCUGAGAGGGUGAUCGGCCACACUGGAACUGAGACACGGUCCAGACUCCUACGGGAGGCAGCAGUAGGGAAUCUUCCGCAAUGGGCGAAAGCCUGACGGAGCAACGCCGCGUGAGUGAUGAAGGUCUUCGGAUCGUAAAACUCUGUUAUUAGGGAAGAACAUAUGUGUAAGUAACUGUGCACAUCUUGACGGUAUCUAAUCAGAAAGCCACGGCUAACUACGUG
RNAcentral lists this ribosomal RNA (497 nucleotides) under uncultured bacterium. RNAcentral describes it as "partial 16S ribosomal RNA". It matches the Rfam family "Bacterial small subunit ribosomal RNA", at positions 28 to 507 of the family's 1533-position model. The record is from RNAcentral.